This 822-nucleotide ribosomal RNA is filed under the name Bacteroides sp. HGBC29. Its description in RNAcentral is "bacterial SSU rRNA". It matches the Rfam family "Bacterial small subunit ribosomal RNA", at positions 60 to 874 of the family's 1533-position model. Lineage: Bacteria; Pseudomonadati; Bacteroidota; Bacteroidia; Bacteroidales; Bacteroidaceae. The record is from RNAcentral.
AGUCGAGGGGCAGCAUGGUCUUAGCUUGCUAAGGCCGAUGGCGACCGGCGCACGGGUGAGUAACACGUAUCCAACCUGCCGUCUACUCUUGGACAGCCUUCUGAAAGGAAGAUUAAUACAAGAUGGCAUCAUGAGUCCGCAUGUUCACAUGAUUAAAGGUAUUCCGGUAGACGAUGGGGAUGCGUUCCAUUAGAUAGUAGGCGGGGUAACGGCCCACCUAGUCUUCGAUGGAUAGGGGUUCUGAGAGGAAGGUCCCCCACAUUGGAACUGAGACACGGUCCAAACUCCUACGGGAGGCAGCAGUGAGGAAUAUUGGUCAAUGGGCGAGAGCCUGAACCAGCCAAGUAGCGUGAAGGAUGACUGCCCUAUGGGUUGUAAACUUCUUUUAUAAAGGAAUAAAGUCGGGUAUGGAUACCCGUUUGCAUGUACUUUAUGAAUAAGGAUCGGCUAACUCCGUGCCAGCAGCCGCGGUAAUACGGAGGAUCCGAGCGUUAUCCGGAUUUAUUGGGUUUAAAGGGAGCGUAGAUGGAUGUUUAAGUCAGUUGUGAAAGUUUGCGGCUCAACCGUAAAAUUGCAGUUGAUACUGGAUAUCUUGAGUGCAGUUGAGGCAGGCGGAAUUCGUGGUGUAGCGGUGAAAUGCUUAGAUAUCACGAAGAACUCCGAUUGCGAAGGCAGCCUGCUAAGCUGCAACUGACAUUGAGGCUCGAAAGUGUGGGUAUCAAACAGGAUUAGAUACCCUGGUAGUCCACACGGUAAACGAUGAAUACUCGCUGUUUGCGAUAUACUGCAAGCGGCCAAGCGAAAGCGUUAAGUAUUCCACCU